AUUGAACGCUGGCGGCAGGCCUAACACAUGCAAGUCGAGCGGAUGAAGGGAGCUUGCUCCUGGAUUCAGCGGAGGACGGGUGAGUAAUGCCUAGGAAUCUGCCUGGUAGUGGGGGAUAACGUCCGGAAACGGGCGCUAAUACCGCAUACGUCCUGAGGGAGAAAGUGGGGGAUCCUCGGACCUCACGCUAUCAGAUGAGCCUAGGUCGGAUUAGCUAGUUGGUGGGGUAAAGGCCUACCAAGGCGACGAUCCGUAACUGGUCUGAGAGGAUGAUCAGUCACACUGGAACUGAGACACGGUCCAGACUCCUACGGGAGGCAGCAGUGGGGAAUAUUGGACAAUGGGCGAAAGCCUGAUCCAGCCAUGCCGCGUGUGUGAAGAAGGUCUUCGGAUUGUAAAGCACUUUAAGUUGGGAGGAAGGGCAGUAAGUUAAUACCUUGCUGUUUUGACGUUACCAACAGAAUAAGCACCGGCUAACUUCGUG
RNAcentral lists this ribosomal RNA (484 nucleotides) under uncultured bacterium. RNAcentral's name for it is "partial 16S ribosomal RNA". It matches the Rfam family "Bacterial small subunit ribosomal RNA", at positions 30 to 507 of the family's 1533-position model. The record is from RNAcentral.